AUUGAACGCUGGCGGCAGGCCUAACACAUGCAAGUCGAGCGGUAGAGAGAAGCUUGCUUCUCUUGAGAGCGGCGGACGGGUGAGUAAUGCCUAGGAAUCUGCCUGGUAGUGGGGGAUAACGUUCGGAAACGGACGCUAAUACCGCAUACGUUCUACGGGAGAAAGCAGGGGACCUUCGGGCCUUGCGCUAUCAGAUGAGCCUAGGUCGGAUUAGCUAGUUGGUGGGGUAAUGGCUCACCAAGGCGACGAUCCGUAACUGGUCUGAGAGGAUGAUCAGUCACACUGGAACUGAGACACGGUCCAGACUCCUACGGGAGGCAGCAGUGGGGAAUAUUGGACAAUGGGCGAAAGCCUGAUCCAGCCAUGCCGCGUGUGUGAAGAAGGUCUUCGGAUUGUAAAGCACUUUAAGUUGGGAGGAAGGGCAGUAAAUUAAUACUUUGCUGUUUUGACGUUACCGACAGAAUAAGCACCGGCUAACUCUGUG
This 484-nucleotide ribosomal RNA is filed under the name uncultured bacterium. RNAcentral describes it as "partial 16S ribosomal RNA". It matches the Rfam family "Bacterial small subunit ribosomal RNA", at positions 30 to 507 of the family's 1533-position model. The record is from RNAcentral.